CCUGCACGAAUGGAGUAACGACUUCCCCGCUGUCUCAACCAUAAACUCGGCGAAAUUGCAGUACGAGUAAAGAUGCUCGUUACGCGCAGCAGGACGGAAAGACCCCGAGACCUUUACUAUAGUUUGGUAUUGGUGUUCGGAGUGGCUUGUGUAGGAUAGGUGGGAGACGUUGAAGCCCGGACGCCAGUUCGGGUGGAGUCAUCGUUGAAAUACCACUCUGGUCACUUUGGACAUCUAACUUCGGCCCGUAAUCCGGGUCAGGGACAGUGCCUGAUGGGUAGUUUAACUGGGGCGGUUGCCUCCUAAAAAGUAACGGAGGCGCCCAAAGGUUCCCUCAGCCUGGUUGGCAAUCAGGUGUCGAGUGUAAGUGCACAAGGGAGCUUGACUGUGAGAGAGACAUCUCGAGCAGGGACGAAAGUCGGGACUAGUGAUCCGGCGGUACAUUGUGGAAUGGCCGUCGCUCAACGGAUAAAAGGUACCUCGGGGAUAACAGGCUGAUCUUGCCCAAGAGUCCAUAUCGACGGCAUGGUUUGGCACCUCGAUGUCGGCUCGUCGCAUCCUGGGGCUGGAGUAGGUCCCAAGGGUUGGGCUGUUCGCCCAUUAAAGCGGUACGCGAGCUGGGUUUAGAACGUCGUGAGACAGUUCGGUCCCUAUCCGCUGCGCGCGCAGGAAAUUUGAGAAGGGCUGUCCUUAGUACGAGAGGACCGGGACGGACGAACCUCUGGUGUGUCAGUUGUACUGCCAAGUGCACCGCUGAUUAGCUACGUUCGGAUGGGAUAACCGCUGAAAGCAUCUAAGCGGGAAGCUCGCUUCGAGAUGAGAUUUCCAUACACCUCCGGGUGUGAGAGGCCCCCAGCCAGACCACUGGGUUGAUAGGCCGGAUGUGGAAGCGAGGACUAACGACUCGUGAAGCUGACCGGUACUAAUAGGCCGAUAACUUACACCAC
RNAcentral lists this ribosomal RNA (947 nucleotides) under Arthrobacter globiformis. Its description in RNAcentral is "partial 23S ribosomal RNA". It matches the Rfam family "Bacterial large subunit ribosomal RNA", at positions 1987 to 2925 of the family's 2925-position model. The record is from RNAcentral. Lineage: Bacteria; Bacillati; Actinomycetota; Actinomycetes; Micrococcales; Micrococcaceae.